GAUGAACGCUAGCGGCAGGCUUAACACAUGCCAGUCGAGGGGCAGCGCGGGAUAGCAAUAUCCUGGCGGCGACCGGCGGAAGGGUGCGUAACGCGUGAGCGACAUGCCCGUUGCCCGGGGACAACCGGUGGAAACGCCGACUAAUCCCCGAUGGGAUAUUGUGCCGCAUGGCACGAUAUUGAAAGUUACGGCGGCGACGGAUUGGCUCGCGUCCGAUUAGCUGGUUGGCGGGGUAACGGCCCACCAAGGCUGCGAUCGGUAGGGGUUCUGAGAGGAAGGCCCCCCACAAUGGGACUGAGACACGGCCCAUACUCCUACGGGAGGCAGCAGUGAGGAAUAUUGGUCAAUGGGCGGAAGCCUGAACCAGCCAUGCCGCGUGCGGGAAGGAGGCCCUAUGGGCUGUGAACCGCUUUUGCCUGGGGGCAAUAAGGGCGUCGCGCACGUCCGAUGAGAGUACCAGGCGAAUAAGCAUCGGCUAACUCCGUG
RNAcentral lists this ribosomal RNA (486 nucleotides) under uncultured bacterium. RNAcentral's name for it is "partial 16S ribosomal RNA". It matches the Rfam family "Bacterial small subunit ribosomal RNA", at positions 28 to 507 of the family's 1533-position model. The record is from RNAcentral.